GCACGAAUGACCUUUGUAAUUCAUACUGAGAUAUUAUAGUGCAUGGCCACAGUUUAGCUGUUAGCACUCUCACACAAAAUAUGACACAGUUAGUAGUUUGAUGUUGAAUGGAUUGACGAUUUCUGACAGGAAAUCUGACGGAAUGAUGGCGUUUUUGAAACGGCUGACAGAGGGCCAGAGAGAGAUGGGGGAGGGUAGAGGUGGAAAGAGAAACAGUGAGAAAGAAAGAGAGAAAUGGAGUGACAGUCAGUGACGAAAAGGCCACUUCCUUCCACGAAACCAGCAUCAGCAGAAGACUCAAACCCGCUGCUGCCAAAUUAACUGAUGAAGAUAAAGGGCACACCAAGUCUCACCGACUUUGCAAUUCAAACACAUACUUGCAUUUUCAUGUCCUCUUGACAACAAUGGCUAACACUAGACCCAGACUAAAAAUUAUUCAUUUAAUCAAAAUGGACUAACCUGAAAAUGUUAAUUGCAUAAUUAUGGAGUUAUUUUUUAAGAUGCUGUAAACAUAUCAUCAUCAACCAGAAAAUUCUGACUAAUGCCAACUUGAGUGUGAUAAUUGGUAUGAGUAUAUUUUUUAAUGCUGUCUUUAUUAAUUAAUCUGAAAACAUGAAGAUCUUGCUACUUGUUAUUAAAGCGUCUUAUGACACACA
This is a long non-coding RNA of Carassius gibelio (silver crucian carp), 656 nucleotides long. RefSeq lists it as uncharacterized. NCBI's taxonomy places the organism in Eukaryota, Metazoa, Chordata, Actinopteri, Cypriniformes, Cyprinidae. The record is from RefSeq and is a predicted model, not a curated record. The transcript is spliced from 3 exons.